CUAUUGCUAUGCGGAAUCACGGUGAGGUAGAUUUGAAUCUGGGUCAGAAGCUGCCUAGAGAAGCUUAGAUGCUUUACCCUGUAAACUAGUGAAACAAGAGAACCGAUCGGUUAGCGCGGUGGGUAGAAAAUGCUUUGGCGGGUUUGAUUGAUAGUGAUAAGCUGCGAGCGUCCGGUUUUUUGGCUGGAUUGUCAAUAGGAUUG
Non-coding RNA from Caenorhabditis elegans, 203 nucleotides. NCBI's taxonomy places the organism in Eukaryota, Metazoa, Nematoda, Chromadorea, Rhabditida, Rhabditidae. The record is from Ensembl.